Molecule: transfer RNA, 72 nt
Filed under: Ovis aries (sheep)
Lineage: Eukaryota; Metazoa; Chordata; Mammalia; Artiodactyla; Bovidae
Rfam family: tRNA
About the family: Transfer RNA (tRNA) molecules are approximately 80 nucleotides in length. Their secondary structure includes four short double-helical elements and three loops (D, anti-codon, and T loops).
Source: Rfam by way of RNAcentral
UCCCUGGUGGUCCAGUGGGUAGGAUUCAGCACUUUCACUCUGGUGGCCUAGGUUCAAUCCCUGGUCUGGGAA